UCCGACCUCAGAUCGGACGAGAUUACCCGCUGAAUUUAAGCAUAUAACUAAGCGGAGGAAAAGAAACUAACAAGGAUUUCCCCAGUAACGGCGAGUGAAGCGGGAAGAGCCCAGCACCGAAUCCCUCAGUGUCACGCUGACGGGAACUGUGGUGUGUGGGACGCCACCAGCUGCAACAGAGGGCGCCGAAGUCCUCCUGAUCGGGGCUUCACCCAGAGCGGGUGUAAGGCCUUUGCAGGUGCCUCUCUGUGCGGCCGCGAGCGUCUCAGGAGUCGGGUUGUUUGGGAAUGCAGCCCAAAGCGGGUGGUAAACUCCAUCUAAGCUAAAUACUUGCACGAGU
RNAcentral lists this ribosomal RNA (340 nucleotides) under Arion subfuscus. RNAcentral's name for it is "eukaryotic LSU rRNA". It matches the Rfam family "Eukaryotic large subunit ribosomal RNA", at positions 1 to 333 of the family's 3401-position model. The record is from RNAcentral. Lineage: Eukaryota; Metazoa; Mollusca; Gastropoda; Stylommatophora; Arionidae.